AUAGUGUUGUGCUCUUUGUAUCUGUCGUGGUUCACAUGGAAAUAAACAGGAGGCAUUACUUUCCGAGCAACAUAGGUAAAUAGAAGAACAGAAAUUAUGCAUAGAUACAGAAGAUAUAUUUAAAUAGCUUCAGCAACUCUUUAGUAACUCAGUUUCGUAUUUUCUGCCCUGCUUUCCCCAGCUGCAAAACUUUUCACCACAGUAGCUCUCAAACAGUUCUUUCUAAACAAGGAGCAAACGUCCUUGAAACAGGGAAUUUUCUUCAAUCCACGCAGAGCAGCUAAGUUACCUCAUGAAUAUUAAUGAGCAUUAAGCUGUGCCACAAAUAUAAUUUUCAGGCAAAAAGUCUUCUGCACGUAGGUGCAGUCCCUGGCAAAGUUCACAACACAGCAUUCUCUCUGCUGGUUGCAGGUCCUCAGUGCCACACAGAUUUCCUCUUCAGAUGCAGCAGAGGCAACUGGGAAUGCUGAGCUCCCAGAACAUAAAACAUCAUUAGAGAAAGCUAAAAGCAAACAAAAACAACGCAAGGCAUCAAGCAAGAAAGAAAAAAAGGUUAUUUAAUUUGCAUGGGAGUUUUCUACCUCUUCUGAACAGGUCCACCCAUCUCUAUAUUUUUCCUCUUUAAAUGUUAAAGCAUCUGAACAUUUGUUCUGUCAGUUGAGAAAAAAUGGACUGACUUAAACCCAUCUUAGAUCCCCGGGGGAUAUCACAGGAAAAUAGGACAGCAGUGCUGAGAGGAAAAACUCCAUCUACUGCAUCUUUUACAAUUAAAACUUACCAACAGUGACGCAGGGGAAAGAGGUGAGAACGGCUUUUAUGCUGCAAUUCAAAGUUCCAUAUUGUAUCCAACCACCAAUACACAAAGAGUGCAAAUGAAAAUUACUCAUGUCAGUGGCUGACAGUUGCACUGUCUGAGGAGCACCCUUCUGUAGCUCUAUUCAUACUGACAUGUAAUUAAAGCAUACCGUGUCCAGAAAUUUCAAGUGAAAAGCCUUGAAGUAUGAUCAAAUUGAGCUCUGUGUAUGUCUUUGUCAUGUCUGAAAUGCAAGAGGUACUUAAGGAUGCUUCAGGUAUUCUACAAAUACAGAUGGAUUUGAACAGGAAACCAUAAAAGUAAAUCCCCUUUAUAAUUCAUACAUUAUGAAUUUAACUGCAACGCCUAGAAUUCUGACUAGUUAAGUCCUACCAAAGCUUCAUCUAUCAAUGUAUGUUUUCUGAUUCCAAAUUUUUAGGCUUCUUCCAUUAACAAAAAAGAAUGAUGAUGACCUUCAGGAGCUUUGGCUGAGUAAGAACUAAGAAAUCUGGGACGAAGGAGCUGCUCCAAACUAUAAGCUCCUCCCUGAAAAACAUGGUGAAUUGUGACAAGAUAUUAAGAAACUUUUUCUGUAACAUUUUACCCUUCCAAAAACAUAUGAAAGAAAGCACAGUGAGGGCAAGUCCCUGGAUUUAAGAGAAACGACACAACUUUGCAGUUUCUGGGAACAAUCUCAUGUAUGUUGGACUAUUAAUUUCAUAAAAUCAUAAAACCAUAGAAUCAUCAAGAUUGGAAAAGACCUCUGAGAUCAGUCCAACCAUCCACUCGUCACCAGUAUUUCCCACCAAACCACAUCCCUCAGUACAACACCUAAAUGUUUCUUGAACACCUCCAGGGAUGGUGACUCCACCACCUGUUAUGGUUGUCAGAAACUUGUGGAAUCCAUCAGCCUGCUGCAGAGGUCUGGGCUAUUGAGAGCAGUCUGACCUCCACGGAUGGAAUUUGUUGGUCUCUCGGCACCAUCUGAGCUGCAAGGUCUGAAGUUUCUGAACUGUUGUUAAUGCUACCAGGUGGAUGCAAGCUUGGAUUCUAUCCCUUCUCAACUUCUUGUAAACUCUGAAAUCUGUAAAGGAGGUCAUGAAGAAAGGAUAUCUGGAGUCAACUUGGCUCACACAUCCUAGUCCAGAAGAGGCACUGAUUCAGCUGGAUGGGACACAGCACUCAUUGCUGGAGGCUCUGAAGUUUCCAAAGAGAUUAAGAUAACUUUGAUGACAUUUCUGGAGGAUGAAGAGCAGCAAUGAUAACUGAGACUAUACGUGUGAGUGCCAUUCAAAAGGGCUUAGGAAAUAUCAGUCACACCCUGAGGGUACAUCUAAUCUGGACUGCACUCCCUGCUCCUAGUCAAUACACAUUUCAUCAUGUCAUCCAAGCUGAUUGCCAAGAAUCCUUCCUACUGAAUCAUAUAUUUCUGAGCUGCCAUCACUCCAAACUGCAUGGCUGCCAUGUUCACAUCUACUGGUGUCAGCACUGCAAAAGGAGAUGAGAAAGAUCCUUAUCCCCAUUUGACAACCCUCUCCUGGACCAGAACAGAAGCACAUGGAUCCUAUCCCUCCUUCUUCCCUCCUUUAGCAAAGUCGGACAUAACUGGAGCAGAAGCUUCAACAGACAUAGCAGCAGACUCCUGUUCAAGUGCUCUGAAGAAAGGGUAAGGAAAGUGAGAGUUCAUGUGGUAAAAUAACAAAACAAAUAUCUGAAUGGCCACAGAGUGCAUGUUGUGAUUUGAGAGGUUUGUGGUUUUAAAUAAAGUAUAAAUGAGCAAUAAGAUUAGAAACUUCAUUUGUUAAAGUUUGCAUUUCCC
Molecule: long non-coding RNA, 2612 nt
Organism: Gallus gallus (chicken)
Lineage: Eukaryota; Metazoa; Chordata; Aves; Galliformes; Phasianidae
Source: Ensembl